UGUCACCAGGCAGUGUAGUUAGCUGAUUGCAGUGUUCAGUAAUCACUAACUGCACAGCCAGGUGAAG
Scleropages formosus (Asian bonytongue) is the source of this 67-nucleotide microRNA precursor. It matches the Rfam family "mir-34 microRNA precursor family". Rfam says of the family: Human mir-34a was discovered computationally and later experimentally verified. The mature sequence is excised from the 5' arm of the hairpin. Lineage: Eukaryota; Metazoa; Chordata; Actinopteri; Osteoglossiformes; Osteoglossidae. The record is from Rfam.